GCAGUCCAAGAAUAUUAGUCAAUGCUCGCAAGAGUGAACGAGCUAACUGAAAGAAUAAACCAUCUAAGGUUAGAAAUCUUAUAAUUAUUAUUAUAGGUUUAAAGACGAAUCUAACUAACAGUGUCGUCCAAAUUCUGGUGCCAGAAGACUCGGUAAUACCAGAGACGCGAACGUUAAUCAUCUUGAAUGGGCAUAAAGGGUUUGUAGGCGGCUUAUUUAUUAAUAGGCUAGAAUCUUAUAGAGGUUAAUAAAAUACUUAGAGGAGGGCUGAUAUCCUUAGAUCCUAAGUGGAAUCCUAAUUGCGAAGGCCAUUUUCCACUACAGAUUGACGCUGAGACACGAAGGUUAGGAUAGGAACUAGGAUUAGAGACCCUAUUACCCCUAACUGUAAACGAUGAAUGGAAGAUAUUUACUAAUGUAAGUGUCGAAGUGAAUACGAUAACCAUUCCGCCUUGCCAGUAUACUUGCAAAAGUGAAAACAAAAAAAUUAGUCGGUCCUAAAGCAAACGAAGUGAAGCAUGUUAUUUAAUUC
This 532-nucleotide ribosomal RNA is filed under the name Cantharellus rubrosalmoneus. RNAcentral describes it as "partial 12S small subunit ribosomal RNA". It matches the Rfam family "Bacterial small subunit ribosomal RNA", at positions 351 to 952 of the family's 1533-position model. The record is from RNAcentral. Lineage: Eukaryota; Fungi; Basidiomycota; Agaricomycetes; Cantharellales; Hydnaceae.